GAACGCUGGCGGCAUGCUUAACACAUGCAAGUCGAGCGGAGAUGAGGUGCUUGCACCUUAUCUUAGCGGCGGACGGGUGAGUAAUGCUUAGGAAUCUGCCAUUUAGUGGGGGACAACAUUCCGAAAGGAAUGCUAAUACCGCAUACGUCCUACGGGAGAAAGCAGGGGAUCUUCGGACCUUGCGCUAAAUGAUGAGCCUAAGUCGGAUUAGCUAGUUGGUGGGGUAAAGGCCUACCAAGCCAACGAUCUGUAGCUGGUCUGAGAGGACGACCAGCCACACUGGAACUGAGACACGGUCCAGACUCCUACGGGAGGCAGCAGUGGGGAAUUUUGGACAAUGGGCGAAAGCCUGAUCCAGCCAUUCCGCGUGCAGGAUGAAGGCCCUCGGGUUGUAAACUGCUUUUGUACAGAACGAAAAGGUUUCUAUUAAUACUAGGAGCUCAUGACGGUACUGUAAGAAUAAGCACCGGCUAACUACGUG
RNAcentral lists this ribosomal RNA (481 nucleotides) under uncultured bacterium. RNAcentral's name for it is "bacterial SSU rRNA". It matches the Rfam family "Bacterial small subunit ribosomal RNA", at positions 31 to 507 of the family's 1533-position model. The record is from RNAcentral.